UACGUAGGGUGCAAGCGUUGUCCGGAAUUAUUGGGCGUAAAGAGCUCGUAGGCGGUCUGUCGCGUCGGCUGUGAAAACCCGGAGCUCAACUCCGGGCCUGCAGUCGAUACGGGCAGACUGGAGUUCAGCAGGGGAGACUGGAAUUCCUGGUGUAGCGGUGAAAUGCGCAGAUAUCAGGAGGAACACCGGUGGCGAAGGCGGCUUCCUGGUCUGCAACUGACGCUGUGGCGCGAAAGCUAGGGGAGCAAACGGG
Molecule: ribosomal RNA, 253 nt
Filed under: uncultured bacterium
Lineage: Bacteria
Description: partial 16S ribosomal RNA
Rfam family: Bacterial small subunit ribosomal RNA
Source: RNAcentral